Molecule: non-coding RNA, 45 nt
Filed under: Schistosoma haematobium
Lineage: Eukaryota; Metazoa; Platyhelminthes; Trematoda; Strigeidida; Schistosomatidae
Source: RNAcentral
AUCCAGCUGACCAGUCCUAAAUAGGACGAAACAUGCACUCUGGAU